Molecule: transfer RNA, 76 nt
Filed under: Syntrophobacteraceae bacterium
Lineage: Bacteria; Pseudomonadati; Thermodesulfobacteriota; Syntrophobacteria; Syntrophobacterales; Syntrophobacteraceae
Description: tRNA-Lys
Rfam family: tRNA
About the family: Transfer RNA (tRNA) molecules are approximately 80 nucleotides in length.
Source: RNAcentral
GCCGCCAUAACUCAAUAGGCAGAGUAACGGCCUUUUAAGCCGGGCGUUGGGGGUUCGAUUCCCUCUGGCGGCACUA